UCCUCGUUAGCUCAAUGGUUAGAGCAAUCGGCUGUUAACCGAUAGGUUUGGGGUUCGAGUCCCUAACGGGGAG
Molecule: transfer RNA, 73 nt
Filed under: Caudoviricetes sp.
Lineage: Duplodnaviria; Heunggongvirae; Uroviricota; Caudoviricetes
Description: tRNA-Asn
Rfam family: tRNA
About the family: Transfer RNA (tRNA) molecules are approximately 80 nucleotides in length. Their secondary structure includes four short double-helical elements and three loops (D, anti-codon, and T loops). Further hydrogen bonds mediate the characteristic L-shaped molecular structure. tRNAs have two regions of fundamental functional importance: the anti-codon, which is responsible for specific mRNA codon recognition, and the 3' end, to which the tRNAs corresponding amino acid is attached (by aminoacyl-tRNA synthetases). tRNAs cope with the degeneracy of the genetic code in two manners: having more than one tRNA (with a specific anti-codon) for a particular amino acid; and 'wobble' base-pairing, i.e. permitting non-standard base-pairing at the 3rd anti-codon position.
Source: RNAcentral